Mycena sp. CBHHK59/15 is the source of this 101-nucleotide non-coding RNA. NCBI's taxonomy places the organism in Eukaryota, Fungi, Basidiomycota, Agaricomycetes, Agaricales, Mycenaceae. The record is from the annotation of a GenBank genome assembly.
GGCCGCCUGGCGAAAUGGCAUCGCGUCUGACUACGAUCGUGCUUCCGUAAACCAACGAUCACGUGAUCAGGAGAUUGCAGGUUCGAGCCCUGCGGUGGUCA